AGGGGCGUAGCUCAAUAAUAGAGCUGCGGGCUUUUAACCCGAAGAUCUUGGUUCGAUUCCAGGCGCCCCUA
This 71-nucleotide transfer RNA is filed under the name Monoblepharella sp. JEL15. Its description in RNAcentral is "tRNA-Lys". It matches the Rfam family "tRNA". Rfam says of the family: Transfer RNA (tRNA) molecules are approximately 80 nucleotides in length. Their secondary structure includes four short double-helical elements and three loops (D, anti-codon, and T loops). Lineage: Eukaryota; Fungi; Monoblepharomycota; Monoblepharidomycetes; Monoblepharidales; Monoblepharidaceae. The record is from RNAcentral.